RNAcentral lists this ribosomal RNA (492 nucleotides) under uncultured bacterium. Its description in RNAcentral is "partial 16S ribosomal RNA". It matches the Rfam family "Bacterial small subunit ribosomal RNA", at positions 29 to 507 of the family's 1533-position model. The record is from RNAcentral.
AGUGAACGCUGGCGGUAGGCCUAACACAUGCAAGUCGAACGGCAGCACAGUAAGAGCUUGCUCUUACGGGUGGCGAGUGGCGGACGGGUGAGGAAUACAUCGGAAUCUACUUUUUCGUGGGGGAUAACGUAGGGAAACUUACGCUAAUACCGCAUACGACCUACGGGUGAAAGCAGGGGAUCUUCGGACCUUGCGCGAUUGAAUGAGCCGAUGUCGGAUUAGCUAGUUGGCGGGGUAAAGGCACACCAAGGCGACGAUCCGUAGCUGGUCUGAGAGGAUGAUCAGCCAGACUGGAACUGAGACACGGCCCAGACUCCUACAGGAGGCAGCAGUGGGGAAUAUUGGACAAUGGGCGCAAGCCUGAUCCAGCCAUACCGCGUGGGGGAAGAAGGCCUUCGGGUGGGAAAGCCCUUUUGUUGGGAAAGAAAAGCAGCAGGUUAAUACCCCGCGGUUCUGACGGUACCCAAAGAAUAAGCACCGGCUAACUUCGUG